This 450-nucleotide ribosomal RNA is filed under the name uncultured bacterium. RNAcentral describes it as "bacterial SSU rRNA". It matches the Rfam family "Bacterial small subunit ribosomal RNA", at positions 354 to 796 of the family's 1533-position model. The record is from RNAcentral.
GUCGAGUAUAAUUCACAAUGGACGAAAGUCUGAUGGUGCAACGCCGCGUGGAGGAUGAAGGUCUUCGGAUUGUAAACUCCUGUCAUCGGGGAGUAAGACCUGGCGGUAAAUAGCCGACAGGGUUGAUAGUACCCGAAGAGGAAGGGACGGCUAACUUCGUGCCAGCAGCCGCGGUAAUACGAAGGUCCCAAGCGUUGUUCGGAAUCACUGGGCGUAAAGGGAGCGUAGGCGGCGUGGUAAGUCAGAUGUGAAAUCCCGGGGCUCAACCCCGGAACUGCAUCCGAUACGGCCAUGCUUGAGGGUUGGAGAGGUAGCUGGAAUUCUCGGUGUAGCAGUGAAAUGCGUGGAUAUAGGAAGGAACACCAGUGGCGAAGGCGACUACCUGGACUGAUACUGACACUGAGGUGCGAAAGCGUGGGGAGCAAACAGGAUUAGAAACCCUGGUAGUCC